GACGAACGUUGGCGGCGUGCUUAAUACAUGCAAGUCCACUGAAGCAGUGGUAGCAAUAUCGCUGUGGAGGUGGCGCACGGGUGAGUAACACGUAGGUAAUCUGCCUUCAGGUCUGGCAUAACUCCGGGAAACCGGGGCUAAUAGCAGAUGAUGCAGCGGCUCGACAUCGAGACAGUUGUUAAAGCUAUGGCGCCUGAAGAUGAGCCUGCGUCUGAUUAGCUAGUUGGCGGGGUAACGGCCCACCAAGGCAACGAUCAGUAGCUGGUCUGAGAGGAUGAUCAGCCACACUGGAACUGAGACACGGUCCAGACUCCUACGGGAGGCAGCAGUAAGGAGUAUUGCUCAAUGGGAGAAAUCCUGAAGCAGCAACGCCGCGUGAGGGACGAAGGGCGUUUGCUUGUAAACCUCUGUAGUGAGAGAAAAAAAUCCCAAUCUUUGGGACAUGAUGGUAUCUCAAAAGUAAGCCCCGGCUAACUACGUG
This 481-nucleotide ribosomal RNA is filed under the name uncultured bacterium. RNAcentral's name for it is "partial 16S ribosomal RNA". It matches the Rfam family "Bacterial small subunit ribosomal RNA", at positions 28 to 507 of the family's 1533-position model. The record is from RNAcentral.